UAGGUAGGUGGUCUCGUUUGUCUGGGGUGAAAGCCUUGAGCUUAACUCAAGAAGUGCCUUAGAAACGGCGAGACUGGAGUCUUGGAGAGGGUCGUGGAAUUCCCGGUGUAGCGGUGAAAUGCGUAGAGAUCGGGAGGAACACCAGAGGCGAAGGCGGCGACCUGGACAAGUACUGACACUCAACUACGAAAGCGUGGGGAGCAAACAGGAUUAGAUACCCUGGUAGUCCACGCUGUAAACGAUGGGUACUAGGUUUGAUGGGUCUUGACCCCCGUCGAACCGGCGCUAACGCAAUAAGUACCCCGCCUGGGAAGUACGGUCGCAAGACUAAA
This 332-nucleotide ribosomal RNA is filed under the name uncultured bacterium. RNAcentral describes it as "bacterial SSU rRNA". It matches the Rfam family "Bacterial small subunit ribosomal RNA", at positions 568 to 898 of the family's 1533-position model. The record is from RNAcentral.